RNAcentral lists this long non-coding RNA (1447 nucleotides) under Sarcophilus harrisii (Tasmanian devil). Its description in RNAcentral is "lncRNA (ENSSHAG00000028692.1)". Lineage: Eukaryota; Metazoa; Chordata; Mammalia; Dasyuromorphia; Dasyuridae. The record is from RNAcentral.
GAUUAAACUGAAGUUUACAUGUGAAACCCUGAAGAAGAAGGAAUCUGUGACAUAUAGAAACAGGCCAGCUCUAAAACUGAAUAGGAACUAAAAAACAAAAACAAAACCCUACUUGAAUAAAAGGAACCUCAGCCACCCUUGGAGUGUAAUGUUCUUGAGGAUCUGCAGCCCCAGGACAGCUCCCGAUCAGCAGCAUCCCCUCCAGGAGCUGAAUGCUUGUCUGCAAGUAUGGGUACUUAUCUUUUCCCCCCAAGGAUCUGAGCGGUUCUUAUGAAACUCACUAAGAAACUCGACUUGGUCCCAGCAUGGAGAAAGGAGAGCUUCUAGCCAACAGGGACAACUGUUUGGGAAGUUGUUGGGAAGUAGCAAGUUGGAUUCUUAAGGAUUCUGCUUGAAGAUUCCAGGAUGAACUCACUGACCCCAGGCCUCUCUCCUUCUAUAUGGAGAGAAAUCUCAGAGGAAACAUAAAUCGGGGCCACGGGAAGCCAGUCUCCUGGCAGGGAUGGAAGGGAGCUUCUGUGUCUGAGCUGAAGGAUUCCAGCUCCUAUGAUUGCAGAGCCAGAAGUACUGAAGGAGGCGGCCCCAGCAGCUCCUUUCCUGGACCAGCUCAGCCAGACACAAUAUUGAUUCCUGUGCUCUCCCACACCCCACUCCCCCCCUCCACCCCGGAAAACAGCUAAUGGCCUGGAAAAAUACUGGCCAGAUGUUCUCCAGCUGUGACAUAAUGAGCUCAGGGACAGAUCAAUGCCAGUUCCAGUAUCUAAUUAAGCUGGGGAGCUGGCUUGGCUGGUUCUCCAGCUCUCCGAGAUGCCCAGUGAGCAUUUCUGACGCUCUUCCUGGAGCCGGGACUGACCCAUGGAGGCUCAGGGGUUGGGAAAGGGCCCUUUUUUGUUGGGCUUGCUGUCCAGCUCUUUGUUGCCACAUCAUAACUUGGUGAUGCCCAUGGAGGCCACUGGAUCUGCUGAGCUCAGACCACCCGUAGUUCCUCACAGGCCAGUCAGCAGUGACUCUGUCAGUCCUAAGACUAAGAGCCCCUUUCUCCCAAGCAUCUGGGUGGAGGUGGCAGAGAGGCCCCUCUGCUCUAGCUGAUGACGCUUCUGCCAUGAGGGGCACUGGGUACCCAGAGAGCCUACAUCAGGGUGCGCUUUCUUUUCUGAAGAGGCAUCAUGACUUAAUCAGGAAGUUCUGGACCCAAUCCUACCUCAGACACUUAAAUUAGAUGAAUUUCAAUCUUAUCCAGCCUCAGUUUCCCCUUCUGUAAUGGCUACUUGACCUCGACAAGCCUGUUUCCCCUUCUAUAACAGACACGUGACCUUGCCAAGCCUCUGUUUCUGCUUCUGAAGUGGCUACUUUACCUCGCCAAGCCUUUGUUUCUGCUUCUGAAGUAGGUACUUUACCUCGCCAAGCCUCAGUUUCCCCUUCUGUGAUGGACACGUGACCUUGCCAA